GUGGGGAAUCUUAGACAAUGGGGGAAACCCUGAUCUAGCCAUGCCGCGUGAUCGAUGAAGGCCUUAGGGUUGUACAGAUCUUUCAGGUGGGAAGAUAAUGACUGUACCACCAGAAGAAGCCCCGGCUAACUCCGUGCCAGCAGCCGCGGUAAUACGUAGGGGGCUAGCGUUGUUCGGAAUUACUGGCCGUAAAGCGCACGUAGGCGGAACAGACAGUCAGAGGUGAAAGCCCAGGGCUCAGCCUAGGAACUGCAUUUGAAACUGCUGGUCUUGAGGGCGAGAGAGGUGAGUGGAAGUCCGAGUGUAGAGGUGAAAUGCGUAGAUAUGCGGAGGAACACCAGUGGCGAAGGCGGCUCACUGGCUCGAUACUGACGCUGAGGUGCGAAAGCGUGGGGAGCAAACAGGAUUAGAAACCCUGGUAGUCC
RNAcentral lists this ribosomal RNA (425 nucleotides) under uncultured bacterium. RNAcentral's name for it is "partial 16S ribosomal RNA". It matches the Rfam family "Bacterial small subunit ribosomal RNA", at positions 354 to 796 of the family's 1533-position model. The record is from RNAcentral.